RNAcentral lists this long non-coding RNA (281 nucleotides) under Mytilus galloprovincialis (Mediterranean mussel). Lineage: Eukaryota; Metazoa; Mollusca; Bivalvia; Mytilida; Mytilidae. The record is from RNAcentral.
GUCUUACACAAAGAUGUUGAUUCAAGUCAAAUAUCAUUUUGUGAUGAAGCUAAUGAUCAUAUUUACAAUUUUCAAAAUAUGUACACAUUACAACUGUGUUUUUUUUUUUAUCUUAUAUGUUUGAAAUGACAUUACAUUAGAAUGGUUCAUACUCUCUUUCAUCAAAAACACAAUUUCUAAACCUUCCAGCAUGCCAUAUUCAAGAUGCAAUUCCAGUGGUGGAAAUGAAAAGAAAAUGGGCAAGAGAUUCACAACUUAUAACAUUCACCCAAAUAUUGAGG